CUUCGAUUUCUCUCUCUCUCUCUGUUUCGUUCUCUCCUCUUCUGCUCUUUUUUUUUUUUUUUUUAAAGUCUGCGUAAUGUUCUUGUAUUUAUAAUUUAGAUGGAUAUUGAUGAAAUUAAAUUCGCUAGUUGUUUUGGUGUUGCUGAAGGGAUUUUUGAGCUUGGGCAUGGUUUGUACUAGCAGUAUUAAUUAACAAAUAAGUAUGUCAAGUAAAUAUAGAAGGAAAAACAUAUAUAAUAUGUUCAAAAUUGUAAAAAGAAGAAAGGAGUUCGGUCCUGUCCGGUUCUUCUCACUGCCAUUCAAACGGUUCUCCCGGAUUUGAAAAUCCCGUGGUUCGAUUGUUCCGCUCUUGAAAGAUCUCCAUGUCCGCGUGAUUCGAAUGCCUUGGACUGGUAGCUGUGAGCGAGGCGGACUGAGAAGAACGAGCUCCAUUUAUUAUGCCGGCGUUUCUGUUCCUAGGUGAUGAUGAGGUACUGGAAACAGUUUACUGGAUUUCUAAAUUCUAUUGAGCUGUGAAAUUGAAUUCCGUCAUCGCUCUCUUUGCAAUACCCAAUAGGCUGUACUCAAUUUCAAAUGAUUAGGUGUCAAAAGUGGAAAAUGAAUGGAAAAUAUAGAGAAUUAAUGCAUAUUUUCGUUAUUAUAUUCUAAAACACAUUUUUGACAAUUUUCUUACAAUCUUCAUGCAUUCAACUCAACUCAAUUCAACUAAGACUUGAUUUCAAUUGAUUUGAGGUCGACGAGAGCAUAAACACACGCUCUCUUUCUCUUUCUCAAGAAAAAGAGAUAUUAAGUAAUAUCAAUAUGAUUAGAUUUUACAUUAACGGUGAUAUCACUGAUAUGGAUGUUUAAUAACGUGAAUUCAUUAUUUCUAAACUUAGACAUAGCAUUCUUUAAGGUAUAGAAUUUCAUUAUGAUCUGAUUUUGAGUUCGAUAUGUUAGAGAGGGAGACGUUGAAAGAUGUAUCCAUUUGAGUUUUGGGAGAAUCUAUACAAACUAGAACAGGGAAAAGAAGAAGAAGAAGAAGAAGAAGAAGAGUGAGAGUAUGUGUAAUGCUGAAGGGUGUUUCUGUGUAACACCCCCUUCCUAUAAGAAGACGAUAUUACACAUCUUUUUAACCAGAAACGCAAGGAUACAAGAAUUCCAUAAACUAAAAAUCAAAGCAAAAUGUCUCAUUAAAAUUAAAACUUAAACCAUUGUAUCACUGCUCUACAACUCAUUCCAUUAAAACUUAAAAGUUAAACCUUAGUCUAUACAUAAGAAAGCAUACUGAAACUUGAAAGAACUAAUGUGAUACAUGCACUUAUUUAAUUUGCUUCUAGAUGAAGGCUUCCGACUCUAGUUUUCUUGGCCUGUAGAAUCAUUCGUGACAUCAUUUGGGUUGCUUUAAAACAUAAUAGCAAAGGGUGGGUCGAAUAUUCAGUAAGUAGAUACAUCAUACAGUAAAUGAAAUUGGAAGCAAUUUUCAUUUUGAAAACAUCAAAAGGUAUAAGUAAGACAUUCACACAUAUCAUAAACAUUUUUCUUCCUUUAAUGUCUUGAAUGACCGACACACAAUUACGCCCUGUGUGUAAGGGUUGGUGAUCACAAGGAUCUUGGCUUCGCUCCCAUGGCCACAAGUGGAGUCGUGUCUAGGACAUGGACAUAACUCAAUGCCCGAAAGCAACAAGCAACAAGCAACGAAUUGAGCUGCCAAUGCUAGAAAGCCGUUGCGUGUUAGAACAAGCAAGGGUUGAGCUAAACGAUGGUGCAUUUGAACAUGUUAUCUGUGAUUGCUGCCAAGGACUAUUGUUAAGAACAAGCAACUUAUAUAAUGCAUGUUUGCUGGUUCUAAAUUGAAUCUUCAGUCUCCCAAAAUUAUGCCCUCUCACCAACUUUUACAUCUGAUGGAGCAUGGUUAGCUUCAUUGUCCAUCAAAGGUUUGUGGUACAUUGAGAGUUCACACAGAAAAUUUACUGCAAUGUAGUGUCCUUUACAUGUGGUUGAAAGUUUUUGUAUAUUUACAGUAUUUAUUCAGGAUCUACGUACUACAUUAUUAUCAUUGUAUGAUAUCUUUUGUGAUAUAGCUUCGAUCAUCCACUUUUUUGUUAGUGGUGCUCUAUGUUCUUGUUUUAUUUUGCAGAUAUCGACAACUACCCAAUAGGCUGUACUCAAUUUCAAAUGAUUAGGUGUCAAAAGUGGAAAAUGAAUGGAAAAUAUAGAGAAUUAAUGCAUAUUUUCGUUAUUAUAUUCUAAAACACAUUUUUGACAAUUUUCUUACAAUCUUCAUGCAUUCAACUCAACUCAAUUCAACUAAGACUUGAUUUCAAUUGAUUUGAGGUCGAAUUUGUAUUCUUGUCAACCAAUCGCGGUCAUGCGCAUGUAUUCAUUUAUGUCAUUAUAUUUUAUCUAAAAUUAUACUCUUUGCAGUUUCCCUAUUUGACACAUCAUUUUUUACUAUUGCUAUUAGAAGCUUUCAUUUACCUCUUUUUACUCCAUUAUUUCUAUUCUCAUAUGUUAUAACUUCUCCAACACCCUCCCAUCCCACAUAAUCAAAACACCAUCUAACUCCCCUUUGGAGUCCAGACAACACAAAUCUACAUGAUGGCACCCCCACAAACUACGCACAACACUAUGAGACAUGACCUCCAGUUUAGUUUCUUGAAAACAAACAACAUCAACUUUCCACUCUCUGAGUAGGUUCCUCACCCUUAGGCAUUUAUCCCCCUCACUCAACUCUCUCACGUUCUAAGAUAGAAGUUUAGGCUUCAUUAAAAACUGAAAUACCCCUCCUUUUCUUUACCACGACUUGCACCCUCACUUUUAGAGGCGUAAUUAAUGGAGCAUUCCAAUCUCUUUAACUCCCUAUUACUUUUGUUGCCCAUUUUAGAGAUGGAACCUGAACCCUUAGGAAGAUGACUUGCUUCAAUAACUGUCAAAAUAGCCAUAAACUGUUCCUCAAAACCCACACACGAAACCCCCAAUACUUGAUGGAUCUCCUUCACUCUUUGCAAGACCUAAUCUGAAUACUCCGACCUUGAGCGACCAGAUUUUCCCAUCACGGCGGGGGAGAUAGGAGCUAAGGGGUGAUGAAGAGGACAUGCAUGAAGGCUUUAUCUGGUUUUAUGCAAACAUAGAUAGAGAUGCUUAUAAUACAGUGUUACGAAUCUGUUAUGACUUAAAUGUAGUUCGUCAUCAUCUGAUUUUAAGUUGAAUAUGAUUUGCUCUCUGAAAAUAAUUGAAUGUCUUAAUUAAUGGAAAGCUGAGACAAAAGAGAGAGACAUGGUAAACCAUGUGAAAAAAAGAAUAUGUGUGUUAUCUAGACACUUGUAAAGAAUUCUGGUAGGAUUCAAACUUGGCCCAAUGCAUCCUGAGACAUCAGUGCAGUACGGAGCUUCCUCCCUAUUGAGAAAAACCACUUUUCGGCAAGGUGCCAAAUCGAGCACAUGCUGGCUUAUUUCUCCAACACAACCCACCUCCAUUACAACCAAAGUAGGCAGACAAGUUCUGAAUCCCCUGUGGAUCAUCUCCUUCUCCAAUGUGAGGCUGCUAGCGCUUUAUGGACUACCAUCUUUAGCUGUUUUGGGUUAUCUUGGGUUAUGCCUCUUCGUGUGAUAGACUUGUUUGUCAAGAGUAUUGAUAGCAGAAAGAGCAAACCCUCUUUUGGAGGGGACUCACCACAGCUUGUCUCCCUAUUGAGAAAAACCACUUUUCGGCAAGGUGCCAAAUCGAGCACAUGAGUCGGAGAACCCUCCUCUUUUUCACUAAUAAGGCUGACUCCCCACCCUAAGCCAGUUGAAGAGGAGCCAAUAGCACUAGGCGAAAAGAGCUUAGGAAAUGGUUCUUUGAAAGUUAAAAACUCAAGAGUAUUGAUAGCAGAAAGAGCAAACCCUCUUUUGGAGGGGACUCACCACAGCUUGUCUUCCUAAGAGAGCAUGAUUGAACAUCAACAUACUCACGUUGAGUCACAUGGUGCAAGCACGUCGUGUAAAGACUCAAUUUUUUUUUCCCCCUGAAUCAUGUAUAAUUUGCAUAGGAAAUUUCCUUUUAGGCUGGAUUACAAGUAGUAAACAUACAUGUGACUGAUUCAAAGUCAUCUUGGCAAUUGUAGCAUUUAUCUUUUCCUAAUGAGGUGUCAGGACUCUUGUACCUCACUAA
RNAcentral lists this long non-coding RNA (4134 nucleotides) under Betula platyphylla (Asian white birch). Lineage: Eukaryota; Viridiplantae; Streptophyta; Magnoliopsida; Fagales; Betulaceae. The record is from RNAcentral.